Strongyloides papillosus is the source of this 46-nucleotide non-coding RNA. NCBI's taxonomy places the organism in Eukaryota, Metazoa, Nematoda, Chromadorea, Rhabditida, Strongyloididae. The record is from Rfam.
CCAACGGCCCUCUUUAGGGCCACCAAAUUAUUUAUGCUUUAGUUUU